UAAGAAUGCAAUUCCAAUUUCUGUCACAUCAUCCCCCUUCAGAGUGUCUUGGAUGAAAGUAACUUCAGCAGCCAGAUGUAUCUGAAAAUAAUCACUUGAUUACAUGGCCCCUUUCCUUCUCCUCCAAACCUACAUCAGUUUUAUAUCAGUUAACAGGUAUGUAAAAAUGGUUUAUUUGUUUUUUGCUUACAGCGUGCUCAGUUUCACACUGGGCAUCUUAUGACUUUAUACGGGCUUAUCACCUCAUUUUCAUAACCAUAAUAAGAUGGGAAAGAUUGUGCCCAUUGUAGGCCUGGAUUGCAUUCCAAUCUGCAGUAGGGGUACUAAAUGCAUAUAGAGCGCCACUGUCAUUCUUUAAGAACGAGGGAGGUGUUCAUGUUGAGUUUCAGCACCUCUUUUUCUAGAAAAAUAGCACUACCUACCACUAAGGAGGUUUAAGCUGGAUGCUCAAGUUUGGACUGCAUGGCUGAACCAAGUUAUCAUUUUGUUUCUAUACAAAUAAUUUAGGAACAGACACCAUUUUGGAACCAAGGUUAUACUGCCUGUCUUUUCUUGCUGCUGUAUGGAUAAUCACACAAAUCUGACCUUUGAAGAGUUUAAUAACUCCGGCACUUCUUCACAGAGGAGCGAGCCAAGAAGUCUUCAACUAACCUGAUGCCAAUGUUAUACCCCCUGGAGAAAGAGAGAACAAAAAGUCAGUCGUGCACAUUUGAUACUUCUUUGAACAUACAGAGGCAUUUUUGGUCAAUUUCCUGAUCUCUAGCCAACCAACUCUCUGAAUGACUCAGAUGCUCCAAACCCAAAGGUAUAGCCCUGCUGACAAGGUCCCUCCCAGGUGUCUCUAAGCAGAAAAACCAUGUGACUGAUUGGGUUGCUGGAAAGGCGGCCCUAGUAAGAAAGCUCUUGUUACUUCUGUUGUUAUUUAGGCCUAUCCAGUACAGCCACUACAGAAAAAAUGAGUGGAGUUAGGACUGCUUCAAGAACAACAUUAGCCACCAUAAUCAUACACUGGUUCUGAGCACGGUUGGAGCUGUUUCCCUGAAGGCCAGAGAAACAACAGGGAGUGUUUUCUACUUUGAAUCCAUUUUUGUUUGUUAGUUUAACACAGGCUUCCUCAACCUCGGCCCUCCAGAUGUUUUUGGCCUACAACUCCCAUGAUCCCUAGCUAGCAGGAUCAGUGGUCAGGGAUGAUGGGAACUGUAGCCUCAAAACAUCUGGGGGGCUGAGUUUGAGGAAGCCU
Molecule: long non-coding RNA, 1240 nt
Organism: Podarcis raffonei (Aeolian wall lizard)
Lineage: Eukaryota; Metazoa; Chordata; Lepidosauria; Squamata; Lacertidae
Exons: 3
Source: RefSeq, a predicted model, not a curated record